UGAUACGCCAACACUUGGAACUGAGACACCGCCCAGAUCCUACGGAAGCAGCAGUGGGAAUUGAACAAUGGGCGAAGCUGAUCCAGCCAUGCGCUGGCGGGAAGAACGCUUCCGGUUUUAACCGCUUUAGUCCGGGAAAAAGGGGUGCGAGGAUAUACCCUCGUGCUUUGAUGGUACUGGAAGAAUAAGCACCGGCUAACUACGUGCCAGCAGCCGCGGUAAUACGUAGGGUGCGAGCGUUAAUCGGAAUUACUGGGCGUAAAGCGUGCGCAGGCGGUCUUGUAAGACAGUCGUGAAAGCCCCGGGCUUAACCUGGGAACUGCGAUUGUGACUGCAAGGCUAGAGUGUGCCAGAGGGGGGUGGAAUUCCACGUGUAGCAGUGAAAUGCGUAGAGAUGUGGAGGAACACCGAUGGCGAAGGCAGCCCCCUGGGAUAACACUGACGCUCAUGCACGAAAGCGUGGGGAGCAAACAGGAUUAGAUACCCUGGUAGUCCACGCCCUAAACGAUGUCAACUGGUUGUUGGAAGGGUAACCCUUUAGUAACGAAGCUAACGCGUGAAGUUGACCGCCUGGGGAGUACGGUCGCAAGAUUAAAACUCAAAGGAAUUGACGGGGACCCGCACAAGCGGUGGAUGAUGUGGUUUAAUUCGAUGCAACGCGAAAAACCUUACCUACAC
Molecule: ribosomal RNA, 678 nt
Filed under: uncultured bacterium
Lineage: Bacteria
Description: bacterial SSU rRNA
Rfam family: Bacterial small subunit ribosomal RNA
Source: RNAcentral